AAGUGUUAUUAUUUGUUGAAAAAAAAAAAAUGAUUAUUAAGAGUUUAUUUAAUAAUCAACAAAAAAAAAUAUAAUAAUAAUGAAUCAUAGUAAUAAUAGUGGUAUGAAUCAUUACAUUGAUGACUCAAUGAAUAUUACAAAACCCAUCAUGAUGGUUGAAAUACCAGAAACAUUGAGUUAUGAUUAUUGGUUUACAAAAAGAGCUAGUGAUUUUGUUGAGUUGACAUGUCUAUUGCCAAAUGGUGUUGUUGUACCACUUGAAACAAAUAGAAAUUCAACAUUAGCUGAAAUAAAAGAUGAACUUUGGGAUGAGGCAAUUAAAUAUCCACUUCAAGUUCAAUUAAAUAAUUCGGAAUCAUAUUUAUUUUCAUGUAUAAAUAGUACAAAUGCUGAGGCAAUUGAAUUACGUGAUGAAAGUAGACGUUUAUGUGAUGUUAAACCAUUUUGUUCAGUACUCAAAGUUAUUAAACAAUUAAGUAAAAAAACAGAGGAACAUUUAGAUUCAGAUAUUAGUUUACUUAUUGGUAAAGGUUUACAUGAAUUUGAUUCAUUACAAAAUACUGAGGUUAAUGAUUUUCGUAAAAAAUCAAGAGUACUUGGUGAAGAAAUAGCAUUAGCUAGAAUGAAUUAUAGCUGGGAGGAAAAAGUACGUUAUCAAUAUCCAUCAAGGCUAUCAACAAGUGAUGAUAUACCUAAAACUGUACUUGAUAAAAUUAAAGAUGGAAAUAUUGUACUUGUUACUAAAUUUGAACAUACUGAGGCAACAACAUUUACAUUUCAAAUAGCACAUACAUCAACACCACAUCAAUUAAUUGUACAAUUUCUAACAAAACGUGCAAAUCGUCAAUUAUCAAAAGUUGAAGAAAAACCAAAUGAUUUUUGUUUAAAAGUAUGUGGCCAAGAAGAAUAUUUAAUUGGUAAUUAUCCAUUAAUAAAUUUUAUAUAUAUACAAGAAUGUUUAUCACGUGAUGUAACACCAAUAAUUGUUGUUGUUAAUAGUGAUACAAUUGACAUUGAUAAUAAUAGCAAUAAUAAUGAUAUUAAAUUAACACCAACAACAUCAACAUUACGUCCAAAUAAUAAAAAUAAACGUGAAUCAGCAUGGAAAAUAAAAGAUAAAUUUAAAUUUACUGUUAAUAAUAUAUCACGUUUAAAUUCUGAUGCUGAACAACGUACUGUUGAAAUAGUAUUACAAGCUGGUUUAUUUUAUGGUGGUAAAUCAUUAUGUGAAAGUCAAAAAACCAAAGAAAAAAUUGUCAAUGCUGCUGGUAAUUGUGAAUGGGAUAAUGAAAUAUUAAAUUUUGAUAUAUGUAUAUGUGAUAUACCACAUAAUGCUAGAUUAUGUUUUGUACUUUAUGAAAUAAGUAAAUCAUCAAAAGGUGCUGGUGGACGUAGAUUAAUAAAAGAUCCAAAACAAGAAUAUUUUAUGAAUCCAUUAUCAUGGGUUAAUACAACUGUUUAUGAUUUUAAAUCACAAUUUAAAAAUGGCUCAAUAAUAUUAUACACAUGGGCAUACGUUGAAGAUAUACAAAAUGAAGAUUUAUUAAAUCCACUUGGUGCUGUUGUAUCAAAUUCACGUGUUAAUUGUGCAGCAGCAAUAACAUUAACAUUUCCAAAUUUAUGUAACAACAAUAAAACAGUUGAGUAUCCAUCAUUUGAUAAAAUUAUUGCAUACGCAAAAGCAUUACGUGAUAAUAAAUUGUUAAUAAAAAAUAACAACAACAAUAACAGUAACAACAACAAUAAUAGCAGUAGCAACAAUAAUGAUAGUAAUGAUGUCAAUGAUAAUUAUGAUAAUGACAACAGCAGUAGUUUAUACAAUGAAAUAAUUAUAAAUAGAGAUGACACAAAACAAAAAUUAAUAAUUGAAAAAAUUAAUAAUGAUGAUAAUCCAAAUAAAUUACAACAAUUUGAAAAAAUAAAAUUGUUAGCUGAAAGUGAUCCAUUGCAUGAGUUACAUGAACAAGAUAGAAAAACAAUAUGGGCAAUGAGAACACAUAUAUCACAUCAAAUACCAACAUUAUUAUCAAAAUUAUUACAUUGUUUUGAAUGGAAUGAUCAUGAAGAUGUUGCUGAAGCAACACUACUUGUAAGUACAUGGCCAAAAUUACCAGUUGAAAAAGCACUUGAAUUACUUGAUUAUGCAUAUGCUGAUAGAACUGUUAGAAGUUUUGCUGUAAGUUGUAUUAAAGAUAUAUCUGAUGAUGAUUUAAGUUUAUAUUUACUACAACUUGUACAAGCACUUAAACAUGAAAAUUAUUUAUAUUGUGAUUUAACAGAAUUUUUAUUACGUCGUGCAUUAAAUAAUCAACGUAUUGGACAUUUUUUAUUUUGGCAUUUACGAUCUGAAAUGCAUGUUAAAUCAGUAUCAAUUAGAUUUGGUUUAAUAUUAGAAGCAUAUUGUCGUGGUUGUCAAAAACAUAUUAUAACAUUACAAAGACAAGUUGCAUUUUUAGAUAUAUUAAAAACAUCAUCUGAACAAAUUAAACUUAAAAAAGAUCGUAAAAAUGCAUUACUUGGUUUAAAUGAUCAAUUAAAAGAUUCAUAUUAUGAAACAUCAUUGACAAAUAUAUUGUGUCCAAUUGAACCUGGUAUUAGAUUAAAAAAAAUAAAAAUUGAUAAAUGUCGAAUAAUGGAUAGUAAAAUGCGUCCAUUAUGGCUUGUAUUUGAAAAUUCUGAUCCAUUUGGUGAUGAUGUAUUUAUUAUAAUGAAACAUGGUGAUGAUUUACGACAAGAUAUGUUGACAUUACAAAUGUUAAGAAUAAUGGAUAAGCUAUGGAAACGUGAAGGUCUUGAUUUUCGAAUGAAUCCAUAUCAUUGUAUAUCAACUGAAAAUAAAGUUGGUAUGAUUGAAGUUGUCUUGGAAGCUGAUACAAUUGCAAAUAUACAAAAAGAAAAAGGUAUAUUUACAGCAACAUCAGCAUUUCGUAAAGAAUCAUUAUUAUCAUGGUUAAAAGAUCGUAAUGACAGUGAAGUAUCAUUAAAUAAAGCAAUACUUGAAUUUACAUUGAGUUGUGUUGGUUAUUCUGUUGCUACAUAUGUACUUGGUAUUGCUGAUCGUCAUUCAGAUAAUAUUAUGCUUAAAAAAAAUGGACAAUUAUUUCAUAUUGAUUUUGGUCAUAUACUUGGACAUUUUAAAGAAAAAUUUGGUAUACGUAGAGAACGUGUACCAUUUGUAUUGACACUUGAUUUUGUUCAUGUUAUUAAUAAAGGACAAACUGGAAAAGAACAAGUUAAAGAAUUUCAACAAUUUCGAGAUUAUUGUGAAAGAGCAUUUCUUAUAUUGAGAAAACAUGGAAGUUUUAUAUUGUCAUUAUUUGCAAUGAUGAUAUCAACUGGUCUACCUGAGUUAUCAUCAGAAAAAGAUCUUAAUUAUUUACGUGAUACAUUGGUACUUUCAAUGACUGAGGAUGAAGCUAAAAAACAUUUUCGUAAAAAAUUUGAUGAAGCAUUGUGUAAUUCUUGGAAGACUUCACUCAAUUGGACAUCACAUAAUAUGGCUAAAAAUAAUAAAGUCACGUAAUCAAUUUAAUAUUUAUAAAUCAUCAAUAAUUAUAAAUAAUAAUUGUGAUCUCAGGAAGACUGCAAGUGCUCAGAAAAAACUUGAUUCAAAUUAAUGGGAAUAAUUUAAAGAAAAUGCGUAGGCAUGAAUUACCAUGCCAAUAAAAAUUAGUGCCAAUAAUAUAAUUAAUAAAUAUAUCG
This 3702-nucleotide unclassified non-coding RNA is filed under the name Aphidius gifuensis. RNAcentral's name for it is "phosphatidylinositol 4,5-bisphosphate 3-kinase catalytic subunit beta isoform, transcript variant X1". The record is from RNAcentral. Lineage: Eukaryota; Metazoa; Arthropoda; Insecta; Hymenoptera; Braconidae.